This is a long non-coding RNA of Diorhabda sublineata, 3009 nucleotides long. RefSeq lists it as uncharacterized. NCBI's taxonomy places the organism in Eukaryota, Metazoa, Arthropoda, Insecta, Coleoptera, Chrysomelidae. The record is from RefSeq and is a predicted model, not a curated record. The transcript is spliced from 4 exons.
AGCUAUCUCCAUUAAAUAUGUUUAAUUUUCGAAUAGAACAAGAUUAUAUUAAGGUUAGGUUCAUUUUUGGAAUUAGGGUUUGUUAUUGGGCUAUAACAAUAACUCUGUUAUUUUUAUGACUUAUAACUAUAAUUUUAAUUCUUGUAUUAUUCAUCAUUAACACUAAAUUCGUAAUAGUAAACAUAAUUUGCUUAUAUUUUCAUGAUAUUUUAUCGGAAAGGAAAAGCAAUGCUGAAAAUCAGACUAAGAUAUUUUUUUAUGGGAAAUUUGAAGGUUUGCACUCAAAACGUGUCUACAAAUUUGUCAUUAUUAUUUGAUAGAAUGUAUAAUAAAAAACGUUGAUGGGGGCAGUUGCAAGUUAAACAUUAAAUUUACCAGGUUAAAGUUUAUUCUGGAACAGCACAUCUAAAGCACCUAGAGCAACUGUUUCAGGCAAAUUAAAGUUAUUGAUCAAGUUAUGGAAGACACUUCAAUGUUACCAUCGAUGAACAUGAAGAUUGAGAAGUCUCGGCUGGAUCCAUCUUGAAAACAAAUAUGAAACUUGAGCUGACAACUCUUAAAUUGAAAAAAAGUGAAUUUGAAGAGUACCUGAUGCCUCCAAUGUAAAAGCAGCCAAUGUUUCCAUAUGAAAGUGUUAUCAAAGAUAAGGAUGGAAAGUGUCAAUUCCAUUACUAUUCAAUCCUGAUGUUUCUUUUGUUGAAAAAAUAAAUAAACUAUUAAAAAUGAAUACACCAAACCAAGUGACAUUUAUAUUAGUUGGAAGUGUGUUAAUAAUUCGAAAAUUAUACCAACAGUUUAAUCAACUAUUAAAUUAUCAGGAGAUAAAGCAUGGUGGAAUGUGUAAAAAGAGAUGAAAGGCAGUGAUCCUUGGAGUUUGCUCUGUUUCUUAAUUUCCACGCAUGUGCCUAAAUCAAACGGCAAAACGUCGGAGCAAACAGUGAAAAUGAGUUGUCGAGGUGUCGAAAUUUGCUUAGGGGUAUCAUAAGAUACCAAAAUCUCAUCCCCUAUGACUAUUCGAAAUAUAGGUUUUCAUUGCAACUUAGAAAUGGAACUUACAUUGUGGAUGUACCUCGUAUGAAGGAAAUUCUAAAAUCAGUUAUUAAAACUUUUUAUUCAAAUUUUUCUAAAAUUUUCGGUCCGAAUUAUUGCAUCAAAUUUUGAUUGAAAUGAUAUUUUUUGUUAUUUAAUGAGUGAGCAGAACUUUGAUCAGUUAUUGUUGGUUUUUGUACUUUUGGGAAUUCUAGGAAUAUUUUAUUGAAAUUAAUAUAGAUACAGAUAUUAAUUAAUGAAGAAAAAUAGUUUGAAUUAAUUUUUGAAUAACUUUUUUAACAUUCAGAAAGUUUUAACAAACAUCCAAUUAAACUUACAAAACAAUGUUUUCGAAACCUUUAGGGAUCUUUUGAAAUAUAAAGUUAAAUUUGAAUAUUUUAUUUGUUGUUGUGAUUAGAAUUUUGUGUAAACAUUAUGGAAAUGGAAUGAAAUAUGAAAUCGAAAUGAAACAGUGUGAAAAAAUUAUAUCUCAAGAAAAAUUAUUAGAAAUCAAUCUAUAACUUUAAAUUAAAAGAAUUAUUUGAAAACAGUAAGUAUAUAAAAGUAUCUAAUUCUGAAUUUACAACUUUUAAUGGUUUACUAUGGAGUCUGGUAUGUUUAUUUUAGAUAUAUUUUAGGGACCAUCAUUACACCCUUUUUUUUGUUAAAAGUAUCCUUUAUUUUUCUACAUUGGUUAUCAAGAAUUUACAAGAGGUAUAAUACAUUUGAAAAACAACACAUGCAGUGCAGUUUAGGAACCUUUUUUAUCUGUUUGUAGAAUAGUUUGUUUACAUUAUAUCCAGGGUUUAAUACCAAUAACCAAAAAUGACAUGACUGUACAGCCCCUUCUUGGAUGCUUUGUCUUUGUUUGAAGAAUUGUGUGUUUACAUUUCAAUCUUAUUUUUGGCAUUUAUGAGAUUAUGUUCAACAGAAUUCCUAAAUAGAUAAGGACCACCCUACACUAUGAGAAAUUUUAAAAUCGCAGUAUUCUAGAUAAAUCUAAAGUAAUACCAAAAUAACUAUACAUGUUGAGGGUUUAUUACUAAUAAACGAAAAUUGACCGUUCAGACCCUUCUUAUAUGCCUUUGUCUUUAUUCCAAGAAUUUCUUGUUCACUUAAUGUUUCGAAUAUAUUUUUUUUAUAUAUAUAUGAGAUAGCAUUCAACAGAAUUCUUUCAGAAUGUUUAUUUAACUUGGAGAUAAGGACCACCCUACACUAUGAGAAAUUUUGAAAUCACUGUAUUCUAGAUGAAUAAUCGAUGGUAAUACCAUAAUAACUAUACUUGUUGAGGGUUUAUUACUGAUAAAGAAAAUUGACCGCCUUUGUUUUUGUUGGAAGAAUUUCUUAUUCACUUUGCAUUUCGAAUUGAUUUUUGAUAUUCCUGAGAAACAUAACGUUUAAUAGAAUAUUUUCUCAUAUUGUUUAACUAAUUUGGGGAUGGGGACCACCCCUCAUCCUUGGGAAAUUUUCAAAACAAAUAAAUAAACAAUCAAAAAUAAUACCAAGAUAACAAAAAUGUUUUGAUUUAUAUGCAGCCAUUCUUUUGAAACUUGAAAUUGUUUUAGUCAGUAUCAUUGUUCUAAAUUCUACGUUUUUUAAUUAAGAAAUAUUCUCAUGUACCUGUAAUCACUCAUGAAAUUACUAAUUCUAAAAACGAAGAUAUGUCGUAAUACAUUAAAAGUAUACAGAUUCCCAAAAGGAAAUUACUAUUAUUUGCUGCCCAUAAACUCUACUUAUAGAGUCAUUUAAUAAUAUUAAGUUAUUGUGAAUUGUAAUAAUUAAAUCUAUGUCAUGUUUUAUUGUAAGUAUUAUAUGUAUUAACACUAAUUAUUUAAAACUUUCUUAGAAUUAUUCUAAAAAUAUAUCUUGCUUUAUAUUACUUUAUUUAUUUUAUCUUUGAAAACACUAUUUUAUUCAAUAUGUAAAUUAUAUAACAAAAUAUGUAAUAUUUAAUUACUUAUUAUUUAAUAAAUCAAAACU